Molecule: ribosomal RNA, 468 nt
Filed under: uncultured bacterium
Lineage: Bacteria
Description: partial 16S ribosomal RNA
Rfam family: Bacterial small subunit ribosomal RNA
Source: RNAcentral
GACGAACGCUGGCGGCGUGCUUAACACAUGCAAGUCGAACGGAAAGGCCCUGCUUUUGUGGGGUGCUCGAGUGGCGAACGGGUGAGUAACACGUGAGUAACCUGCCCUUGACUUUGGGAUAACUUCAGGAAACUGGGGCUAAUACCGGAUAGGAGCUCCUGCUGCAUGGUGGGGGUUGGAAAGUUUCGGCGGUUGGGGAUGGACUCGCGGCUUAUCAGCUUGUUGGUGGGGUAGUGGCUUACCAAGGCUUUGACGGGUAGCCGGCCUGAGAGGGUGACCGGCCACCUUGGGACUGAGAUACGGCCCAGACUCCUACGGGAGGCAGCAGCGGGGAAUAUUGCACAAUGGGCGGAAGCCUGAUGCAGCAACGCCGCGUGCGGGAUGACGGCCUUCGGGUUGUAAACCGCUUUCGCCUGUGACGAAGCGUGAGUGACGGUAAUGGGUAAAGAAGCACCGGCUAACUACGUG